AUGGCUAUGGUUUUAAGGUAUGUUGAUAAACAUGGGUAUGCGAUUGAGAGGUUCAUUGGGAUUAAGCAUGCUGGUGACACAAGAGCGGCUUCUCUAAAAGCAGCUUUGGAUGGUAUGUUUCUUAAACAUGGCUUGUCUAUGUCUAAAUUGAUAGGGCAAGGGUACGACAGAGCUUCUAACAUGAGAGGACAAUUUCAUGGGUUGCAAAGGUUGAUACUAGAUGAAAAUCAUUAUGCAUUUUAUCAUCAUUGCUUUGCCCAUCAGUUGCAGUUAGUGGUUGUUGCUGUUGCCAAGUGUUGUUCCUCUGUAUUGGAUUUCUUUGACCACAUGACUUUGAUUGUCAACACUGUCAAUGCUUCUUGUAACAGACAUGAUGAAAUAGCUCAAGAACAACAUGAUAAUAUUGUGAGUCAAUUGGAGUCUGGGGAAAAAAAUUCUGGAAGAGGGGAAAACUAA
RNAcentral lists this ribosomal RNA (456 nucleotides) under Triticum aestivum (bread wheat). RNAcentral describes it as "partial small subunit ribosomal RNA". The record is from RNAcentral. Lineage: Eukaryota; Viridiplantae; Streptophyta; Magnoliopsida; Poales; Poaceae.